Mus musculus (house mouse) is the source of this 6007-nucleotide long non-coding RNA. RefSeq annotates it as predicted gene, 38733. Lineage: Eukaryota; Metazoa; Chordata; Mammalia; Rodentia; Muridae. The record is from RefSeq and is a predicted model, not a curated record. The transcript has 2 exons.
CAGGAUUCAGAGGCGUCCAGAAGGUCACGAGUGACCAGUCUCUUAAGCUACCUCCGCAGUUUCUUGCUGUCGCUCCAACAACAUGCGUUCUGCUCCAGGCCUUUGCAUUUGCCAUUCGCGCUACACACUGCGCUCCAAGUCAUCUGUCACAGCGCUCAGGCUGGCCUCCAACUGCAGCUCCUCCUGCCUUUCCAAGUUCCCAGGUGCCAGAGUCACAGAUGUGUGCCAUCAAACUUGGAGGCACAUUAUGCAACAAAGGAGGCCAAUCAGAAAAGGCUCCCAGCGUGGGACUGGAUUCCAGCUCAAGGACAUUCCAAGAAAAGCCAAGACUGUGACACACUACAAAGAUAUCACUGGCCUGGGUGGAGACCAGUGAUACAAGGCUUGUCUUGAAGUAUCUUUCAAACUGAAAAAAAGAAGAAGAGAGUUGGGCUGCCAAGGUGGCUCAGAACCCACAUAAAACUAGAAAGAGAAAAUAAAGUUGUCCUCUGGUCUUCACGUGCAAACAGUGGUUUGUCUUGAAGUGACUAAGGUAACGCCAUCUUGUCUGCCUCUAUUUUGUAUCUGCUUAGACACUUCUCAGCUCCAUACUCCCCAACAGCCUCAUUGGCCUUGGCUACAUACAUAUUUGGCAUCUCCAUGACCUUGAACAUGGUCCAGAUGCAUUAGCCCAAAUAAUUAAUAUUUAUACAAACGAAACAUAAAAAACCAAAAGUCAGAAACUAAAUACACUACUUAAUAUAAAAGAUCUGCUAAGUUAAUUUAGAUUUUAAUAAAAGUGCACUAUAAAAGAACACAUAGGCUUGUUCUUAACCACUGAGCCAUCUCUCCAGCCCAGCGUGAAGCACGGGUCCAAGCAAAGCAAACGUGGCAUUGGGCUUGCCCUCUCCCUUGCUAAACUACUAGAUUCUUAAAGCACCAAGGUCUAGUGCCUUAUUUGGCUACUUACUUAUGCCUGCCUAAAACUCCAAGGUCCAACUAUCAAAACACCAAGGUCCAGCAAUCAAAAUUCAUUCUUUGGUUACAGUGACUAGAAUAUCUAAUCAGGACUUCCCACCUCACCCCAGCCAAGACCUUUUCUCCUUAAAAAGUCACUUUUCUUUGUCCAGUCCAGAUUUACUACCCCACCGUGCCUUCAGGGUAGUGAAUCUUUGUGCUGAGAAUCUGGUGUCUGAGUGAGUUCUCUGCCAAGUCUCAGUAGAUUAUUUUAAAUUCAAGGCCAGCCUGGUCUACAUAGUUUCAAGCUAGCCAAAGCUACAAAGUAAGACCCUGUCUCAAAAACACUUUUUUAAAAAUCACUUCCAGGAGCCCUAUGUGGUAGCUCACACCUUUAAUCCCAGCACUUGGGAGGCAGAGGCAGGCAGAUUUCUGAGUUCAAAGCCAGCCUGGUCUACAAAGUGAGUUCCAGGACAGCAAGGGCUACACAGAGAAACCCUGUCUCGAGAAAAAAAAAAUCACGUCCAGGAUGAAGAGAUUGCUCAGUAGUUGAGAGAGUGUGUGCUGAAGUUCCAGAGAACCUGAGUUUGGUACCAGGCAAGACAUCCUCAGACCCCUGCACAUGCCUGUGUCUAAACACACACAGACAAACAUUCACACGGGUAUGGAUGUCUUGCCUGCAUGUGUAUCUGUGUAUCACAUGCAUGUAGUGCCUACAGAGCUCAGAAGAUGGUGUCAGAUCCCCUGGGACUGGAGUACUGGACAGCUGUGAUCGACCAUGUGGGACUCAAACCUGAGCCGCCUUCUGCAAAAGCAGCCAGUGCUCUUUAACUGCUGAAUCAUGGCUUCCAGCCCCAAGCCCAGACUCUUCACUCCGGUGACUAGUCACUGUCGGUCCCUACAGUGGUCAGUUUCAGUCACCAGAGGUGUGCAAACCUACAAGGGGUACCCCACCCAGGGGGAACCCCAUUGUACCCUGCAGCCUCUGCACUGGAGACAAGAAAGGUGUGAAUGUAGGCUCACUGUAACAAAUGGAGCAGCCUGCUUCCCUGUGCUGGCAGUGGAGGCGGCCGUGGGUGGGUGAGGCAGGCUUCACGGGGACUCUCAGUGCUUUCCCUUGGAUCUCACCGUGUGCCUAAAAACUGCUUGAGGGAAUAUUUUUUUCCCUCCAUGCUGGGUACAGAAUCAGGAGAACUCCUAUAUGCUAGGGAAGUGCUUUGCCACUGAGCCACAUACACAGUUAAUCCGCUUUAAAACAAAAUCUGGAGGAGCUCAGGUCCUGGGGUUCAGAAGGUGACUGGCCUGAGUAUUCAACCUCAGGACCCCACAUAAUGGAAGGAGAACUGACCCCCACAAAUUGUCCUCUUACACACACACACACACACACCUACACACCUGCUUACUUUCAUAUGUAAGCCCACACACAUAAAAUAAAUGAAAAAUUUUUAGACAUGGGGCUUUUUCCCCCAGUGUGAUUGUGCAUGCUUCUAAUACCAUUGCUCAGGAGGCAGGCAGAUCUCUCUCUGAGUUCGAGGCCAGCCUAAGUCCAUGGGGUGAGUUCCAGGACAGUCAGGGCUACACAGAGAAACCCGGUCUUGAAAAGCCAAAAAGAGAGAGAGAGAGUAGGUUACUCUGGUGUCCUUACUUUCUACCUUGUUUGAGACAGCCUCUCUUGUCUGCUGCUGUGUGAGCCCUGACAGCUGGCCUGAACUUCAAGGGAUUCUCCUGCCUCUACCUCAUCCAAUGUGGGAGUGCUGGGAUUACAGAUGUUCACUGUGACCAGCUCGACAUUUCUGGGUACCAAAUUCAGUCUCUCAUGGUUGUGCACUGAACACUUUACCCACUAAGCUGUUUCCCCAGCCCCCCAGAUGCCUUCUGUUGCAUGCUUGCAAUGUAGCCUGUGUGACUAAAAAAUCAAAUUCUUCAUUCUACUAAAAUUAAUUUUUUUCUUUCUUUUUUUUUUUUUUUUUUUUUUUUUUGGUUUUACGAGACAGGGUUUCUCUGUAUAGCCCUGGCUGUCCUGGAACUCACUUUGUGUACCAGGCUGGCCUCAAACUCAGAAAUCCACCUGCCUCUGCCUCCCGAGUGCUGGGAUUAAAGGAGUGCGCCACCACACCCAGCACACCGGCACAUUUUGUUGGAUAAUAAGUGACAGUAAGGAUCUAGUCCGUGGUGUGGGCUGUAAACAGUUCGGUUCCUGCCCUCUCUGUUGGGCGACUCCCAGCUGGUCAAAUGCAGUAUGCACUGGGAGGGCCACCUUUCCACUCGGGCCCCACCAUUUGACCUUCUUGUGUUGCUAAAGCGAUGGAUACUCUCCCAGCCUGCUCUCCCCAGCCUGGCUUGUGUUGGGUUCUUGCCACGAUCACUGUGAGGCUGAGCAGAUGCCUCUGUCGUCUUUACGGGGUUCCAUGAAGGAAGAUCUGGAAUCCCACCUGCAUUGGCACAAGUUUUGGGUGGCCUGUAGGAGGAGUGUGGGAUUCAAGUAUUCAAAGGUGAGUAUUAGGGUCAGAACUGCCUCAUGGGGGAUCCAGUGACCUGAAAAGACCAGAGCCAACUGGGGUAGAAUCUGCAAAGGCGAAACUGCCCUCCUGCAGAUGGAGGAGGGAACACAGAACAGAAGCUGCUAAUUAUAGAACAAAAUUUCACAUUUCUGGAAAGCAAAGAAUCAAGAGUGGGGGAAACGCUUGCUUAUUAGACCACUCACCGAGACUUUGUUUGUUUUUGUUUUGAGACAAUGUCCUCAAUGUCCAGGCUGGCCUCUAAUUCACUAUGUAGCCAAGGAUGACCUAGGCAAGAUCUCUGUCAACUGAACUGUAGCUACUGUUAUUGCUAUAGUACUGGAGGUUUGGGGGAAGCAUUCAAGAGCUGGAGGCAGGAGGAUGGGGAAAGGGUUGAAGGUAGACUUCUCUGGGAUGUGUGAGGUGUGAGGACCUGGUACUAACACAACCUCAUGUCAAAAAAAAAAAAAAAAAAAAAAAAAAAGCUAUGCACAGUGACAGGCUUUGUUGGAGCCUGGCCUUGAAUAGCCAGUUUGCCUGCUGGACCCAGGAGGAAAGGGGCGGAGCCAGAGGCUGCACUGGAUACUGUGAAGGCUACGCUUGGGAUCCUUUAAUGGCAAAGAUGGAAGGCGCAUCAGCUACUGGUGUGUCCAUUUCUCAAAUGGCAACUUGGCAACCAACCUGUGCCCUGUUCUGUCCUACGGGGAGGUAGUGUUUUGUCUCCCAGCUUUGUCCCCAGUCAACCCUAGAUUUCCACCAACACUUGCACUGUCUGGCCUGGUCGCCCUCCUCGUCGCUCUGCUCUGGUGUCUGUGUUACCUGGGCCUCUGUUACCUUUUCUUCUGUCUCUUUUGCAGCAAGGUCUCACUAUGCAGUUCUGGCUGUCUUGGAACUUACUACAUAGAGCAGGGUGAUCUUGAACUCACACAUCCACCUGCCUCAAGUACUGGGACUAGAGGUGUGCACUAUAGUGCCCAGCCUGAUGGGGAAAAAAAGAAAAAGAAGUCAAAUUUCUUGGGUUUUUGUUAUCACUCGAGGUAGCUUAUUUAGGGUUGGCUUAAGGACUUUUGUUUAAGGCGGUGUCUCAUCUAUCCCAGGCUGGCCUCAAACUCAGUACGUAGAUAGGGAUGGCCUUGUAACUCCUCCUCCUGCAUUCUCCUCUGAAAUACCAGAUUUAUGGACUCAUUAACCCAGGGACUCAUUUUGUAGUCCAAGCUAACCUCAGCCUUGCUCAGCCUCAGAUGACAGGUAUCCACAUCUGGCCCUUGAACUUCGGUAUCUACACUGAGACCACAUCCCAUAGAAUUAAGAUCCAGUGCUCUUUAGCAAGGCCUCUGCUCUCCCUGGAUUUGGUCAUGAACCUUAGCCCCAAACCUGUUUGUGUAUGCAUUUGCCUUCACUUAAGGACUCAUAAUGCUCAAUGUACAGUGAUACUGGACACUUCCUGAAGGCAGGUGAACAUCUGGUUUGGUUUCUGUGUUGCCCAUGUGAUUGUUUGGGUGGGUGAAGGGCUAGAUGUAUGGAUUGAAGGAUGGACUGAUAGGUGUGUAUAGCUGAGUGGAGUGAUAGCUGAUAGCUGGAUGGAGAUGACUAGGACUCAACCAACCAGUGUUCUCUGCAUGUGUGAACAAAUGAUCCCAGUCAAAGCUAACUUGCGGCACCCAAGUCCAAGGAUCACGACUGACAAAGGCUGGAGCUGCGUGCCAUGUGGAAGGGGCUGAUUUCCAGGAUGACCCCCUUCCUCCCUCUGAGGUGUUCCUCAGUCCUAGGCUCUCAAAACAAAACCAGGGAAAAGAUGCCCAUCCCUGGGAAGGAAGCCAUAGGCUUCACACCUUCCUGCUGUCAGUCACAGCUCUGGAAAGGGCAGCUUCAGACUAGCAGAGGGGCUUGAAACCCAGUUAUGCAGAUGGAGGCAAAGGGUGUGGACACCCCUCGGUUGAGGAAGGUAGUGUUAGUGCAGGCCAACUUGGCCUAGGUUUCUGGAGGAGUACCUUUUCAACUCUUCAAGACAGUCUGAAGGUGUGGUUAUUUGUGAGACUUCAUUAAAGGGCCUGUAGCCCUCCCACUAGAUACCAUCAGCAAGGCCUAGCCCACCCUAGAUGCCCCCCCCAAUAGAGCUCCACACCCACCCAACCUGCUCCCCACACCCAGCAAAGCCACAGAGCCACAAGCUGUUUGUGUAAGGUAAGGUGUGCACUUUUAUUGGUCUCAAGUCAGUGUACAGGCCAGCCCUGGCUGCCUCAACACCUCAACCCCCUCCCAGGGAGACCAAAGCCUUCAUACAUCAAGUUGGGGGGACAAAAAAAAGGGAGGCCUCAGACCUGGGCCAUUCAGAAAUUAAAAACAAAAAUGAAGUAUUAAGGCGGAAGAUUUAAAAAAAUUUUUGCAGUACAUAAUUUACACAGAAGCAAUGCUGUCACCUUCCCCGGGGUGGACUCAGGGCAUGGACGCGACCAUCCUCCUCUUAGGAGUGGGGGUGGCUUUUGGGAGGGUGAGGGACUUCCUGUAACCACUUAUUUCAUGGAUACUUGGAAUGACUAUUAAAAAAAGACAAAACCAAAAAAAAAAAAAAA